This 1494-nucleotide ribosomal RNA is filed under the name Lactiplantibacillus plantarum. Its description in RNAcentral is "bacterial SSU rRNA". It matches the Rfam family "Bacterial small subunit ribosomal RNA". Lineage: Bacteria; Bacillati; Bacillota; Bacilli; Lactobacillales; Lactobacillaceae. The record is from RNAcentral.
CUAGAGACGCUGGCGGCGUGCCUAAUACAUGCAAGUCGAACGAACUCUGGUAUUGAUUGGUGCUUGCAUCAUGAUUUACAUUUGAGUGAGUGGCGAACUGGUGAGUAACACGUGGGAAACCUGCCCAGAAGCGGGGGAUAACACCUGGAAACAGAUGCUAAUACCGCAUAACAACUUGGACCGCAUGGUCCGAGCUUGAAAGAUGGCUUCGGCUAUCACUUUUGGAUGGUCCCGCGGCGUAUUAGCUAGAUGGUGGGGUAACGGCUCACCAUGGCAAUGAUACGUAGCCGACCUGAGAGGGUAAUCGGCCACAUUGGGACUGAGACACGGCCCAAACUCCUACGGGAGGCAGCAGUAGGGAAUCUUCCACAAUGGACGAAAGUCUGAUGGAGCAACGCCGCGUGAGUGAAGAAGGGUUUCGGCUCGUAAAACUCUGUUGUUAAAGAAGAACAUAUCUGAGAGUAACUGUUCAGGUAUUGACGGUAUUUAACCCAGAAAGCCACGGCUAACUACGUGCCAGCAGCCGCCGGUAAUACGUAGGUGGCAAGCGUUGUCCGGGAUUUAUUGGGCGUAAAGCGAGCGCAGGCGGUUUUUUAAGUCUGAUGUGAAAGCCUUCGGCUCAACCGAAGAAGUGCAUCGGAAACUGGGAAACUUGAGUGCAGAAGAGGACAGUGGAACUCCAUGUGUAGCGGUGAAAUGCGUAGAUAUAUGGAAGAACACCAGUGGCGAAGGCGGCUGUCUGGUCUGUAACUGACGCUGAGGCUCGAAAGUAUGGGUAGCAAACAGGAUUAGAUACCCUGGUAGUCCAUACCGUAAACGAUGAAUGCUAAGUGUUGGAGGGUUUCCGCCCUUCAGUGCUGCAGCUAACGCAUUAAGCAUUCCGCCUGGGGAGUACGGCCGCAAGGCUGAAACUCAAAGGAAUUGACGGGGGCCCGCACAAGCGGUGGAGCAUGUGGUUUAAUUUCGAAGCUACGCGAAGAACCUUACCAGGUCUUGACAUACUAUGCAAAUCUAAGAGAUUAGACGUUCCCUUCGGGGACAUGGAUACAGGUGGUGCAUGGUUGUCGUCAGCUCGUGUCGUGAGAUGUUGGGUUAAGUCCCGCAACGAGCGCAACCCUUAUUAUCAGUUGCCAGCAUUAAGUUGGGCACUCUGGUGAGACUGCCGGUGACAAACCGGAGGAAGGUGGGGAUGACGUCAAAUCAUCAUGCCCCUUAUGACCUGGGCUACACACGUGCUACAAUGGAUGGUACAACGAGUUGCGAACUCGCGAGAGUAAGCUAAUCUCUUAAAGCCAUUCUCAGUUCGGAUUGUAGGCUGCAACUCGCCUACAUGAAGUCGGAAUCGCUAGUAAUCGCGGAUCAGCAUGCCGCGGUGAAUACGUUCCCGGGCCUUGUACACACCGCCCGUCACACCAUGAGAGUUUGUAACACCCAAAGUCGGUGGGGUAACCUUUUAGGAACCAGCCGCCUAAGGUGGGACAGAUGAUUAGGGAA